RNAcentral lists this ribosomal RNA (301 nucleotides) under uncultured bacterium. Its description in RNAcentral is "partial 16S ribosomal RNA". It matches the Rfam family "Bacterial small subunit ribosomal RNA", at positions 509 to 809 of the family's 1533-position model. The record is from RNAcentral.
CAGCCGCCGCGGUAAAACGUAGGGUGCGAGCGUUAAUCGGAUUUACUGGGCGUAAAGCGUGCGCAGGCGGCCCGUUAAGGCAGGUGUGAAAUCCCUGGGCUCAACCUAGGAAUUGCGCUUGUGACUGGCGGGCUCGAGUACGGUAGAGGGGGGUGGAAUUCCUGGUGUAGCAGUGAAAUGCGUAGAGACCAGGAGGAACACCGAUGGCGAAGGCAGCCCCCUGGGCCUGUACUGACGCUCAUGCACGAAAGCGUGGGGAGCAAACAGGAUUAGAUACCCCGGUAGUCCCUGUCUCUUAUAA